GAUGAACGCUGGCGGCGUGCUUAACACAUGCAAGUCGAACGGAAAGGCCCAAGCUUGCUUGGGUACUCGAGUGGCGAGCGGGUGAGUAACACGUGGGUGAUCUGCCCUGCACUUCGGGAUAAGCCUGGGAAACUGGGUCUAAUACCGGAUAGGACGAUGGUUUGGAUGCCAUUGUGGAAAGUUUUUUCGGUGUGGGAUGAGCUCGCGGCCUAUCAGCUUGUUGGUGGGGUAAUGGCCUACCAAGGCGUCGACGGGUAGCCGGCCUGAGAGGGUGUACGGCCACAUUGGGACGGAGAGACGGCCCAGACUCCUACGGGAGGCAGCAGUGGGGAAUAUUGCACAAUGGGCGCAAGCCUGAUGCAGCGACGCCGCGUGGGGGAUGACGGCCUUCGGGUUGUAAACUCCUUUCGCUAGGGACGAAGCGUUUUUGUGACGGUACCUGGAGAAGAAGCACCGGCUAACUACGUG
This 468-nucleotide ribosomal RNA is filed under the name uncultured bacterium. Its description in RNAcentral is "partial 16S ribosomal RNA". It matches the Rfam family "Bacterial small subunit ribosomal RNA", at positions 28 to 507 of the family's 1533-position model. The record is from RNAcentral.